CAAUAGCGUAUAUUAAAGUUGUUGCAGUUAAAAAGCUCGUAGUUGGACCUUGGACCUGGACAGGCGGUCCGCCUCACGGCGAGUACUGUCUUGCUGGGUCUUUCCUCUUGGUGAUCUGUUGUUUCGGCAGCAGGGAACCAGGACCUUUACUUUGAAAAAAUUAGAGUGUUCAAAGCAGGCUCGACGUCGGAAUAUAUUAGCAUGGAAUAAUAAAAUAGGACGUGCGGUUCUAUUUUGUUGGUUUUUGGAAUCGCCGUAAUGAUUAAUAGGGACAGUCGGGGGCAUUAGUACUCACAUGCUAGAGGUGAAAUUCUUGGAUUUUGUGAAGACUAACUUCUGCGAAAGCAUUUGCCAAGGAUGUUUUCAUUAA
This 370-nucleotide ribosomal RNA is filed under the name uncultured eukaryote. RNAcentral describes it as "partial 18S ribosomal RNA". It matches the Rfam family "Eukaryotic small subunit ribosomal RNA", at positions 592 to 976 of the family's 1831-position model. The record is from RNAcentral.